UCCGAAGGGGGCUAUCGUUGCUCGGAAUUACUGGGCGUAAAGCGCGCGUAGGCGGGCCGUUAAGUCGGGGGUGAAAGCCUGGGGCUCAACCUCAGAAUUGCCUUCGAUACUGGCGGCCUGGAGCAUGAUAGAGGCGAGUGGAAUUCCGAGUGUAGAGGUGAAAUUCGUAGAUAUUCGGAGGAACACCAGUGGCGAAGGCGACUCGCUGGAUCAUUGCUGACGCUGAGGCGCGAAAGCGUGGGUAGAAAACAGG
Molecule: ribosomal RNA, 253 nt
Filed under: uncultured bacterium
Lineage: Bacteria
Description: partial 16S ribosomal RNA
Rfam family: Bacterial small subunit ribosomal RNA
Source: RNAcentral